This 1432-nucleotide ribosomal RNA is filed under the name Salmonella enterica. RNAcentral describes it as "partial 16S ribosomal RNA". It matches the Rfam family "Bacterial small subunit ribosomal RNA". The record is from RNAcentral. Lineage: Bacteria; Pseudomonadati; Pseudomonadota; Gammaproteobacteria; Enterobacterales; Enterobacteriaceae. RNAcentral also lists the same sequence under 1 other name.
CAGGCCUAACACAUGCAAGUCGAACGGUAACAGGAAGCAGCUUGCUGCUUUGCUGACGAGUGGCGGACGGGUGAGUAAUGUCUGGGAAACUGCCUGAUGGAGGGGGAUAACUACUGGAAACGGUGGCUAAUACCGCAUAACGUCGCAAGACCAAAGAGGGGGACCUUCGGGCCUCUUGCCAUCAGAUGUGCCCAGAUGGGAUUAGCUUGUUGGUGAGGUAACGGCUCACCAAGGCGACGAUCCCUAGCUGGUCUGAGAGGAUGACCAGCCACACUGGAACUGAGACACGGUCCAGACUCCUACGGGAGGCAGCAGUGGGGAAUAUUGCACAAUGGGCGCAAGCCUGAUGCAGCCAUGCCGCGUGUAUGAAGAAGGCCUUCGGGUUGUAAAGUACUUUCAGCGGGGAGGAAGGUGUUGUGGUUAAUAACCGCAGCAAUUGACGUUACCCGCAGAAGAAGCACCGGCUAACUCCGUGCCAGCAGCCGCGGUAAUACGGAGGGUGCAAGCGUUAAUCGGAAUUACUGGGCGUAAAGCGGCACGCAGGCGGUCUGUCAAGUCGGAUGUGAAAUCCCCGGGCUCAACCUGGGAACUGCAUUCGAAACUGGCAGGCUUGAGUCUUGUAGAGGGGGGUAGAAUUCCAGGUGUAGCGGUGAAAUGCGUAGAGAUCUGGAGGAAUACCGGUGGCGAAGGCGGCCCCCUGGACAAAGACUGACGCUCAGGUGCGAAAGCGUGGGGAGCAAACAGGAUUAGAUACCCUGGUAGUCCACGCCGUAAACGAUGUCUACUUGGAGGUUGUGCCCUUGAGGCGUGGCUUCCGGAGCUAACGCGUUAAGUAGACCGCCUGGGGAGUACGGCCGCAAGGUUAAAACUCAAAUGAAUUGACGGGGGCCCGCACAAGCGGUGGAGCAUGUGGUUUAAUUCGAUGCAACGCGAAGAACCUUACCUGGUCUUGACAUCCACAGAAGAAUCCAGAGAUGGAUUUGUGCCUUCGGGAACUGUGAGACAGGUGCUGCAUGGCUGUCGUCAGCUCGUGUUGUGAAAUGUUGGGUUAAGUCCCGCAACGAGCGCAACCCUUAUCCUUUGUUGCCAGCGGUUAGGCCGGGAACUCAAAGGAGACUGCCAGUGAUAAACUGGAGGAAGGUGGGGAUGACGUCAAGUCAUCAUGGCCCUUACGACCAGGGCUACACACGUGCUACAAUGGCGCAUACAAAGAGAAGCGACCUCGCGAGAGCAAGCGGACCUCAUAAAGUGCGUCGUAGUCCGGAUUGGAGUCUGCAACUCGACUCCAUGAAGUCGGAAUCGCUAGUAAUCGUGGAUCAGAAUGCCACGGUGAAUACGUUCCCGGGCCUUGUACACACCGCCCGUCACACCAUGGGAGUGGGUUGCAAAAGAAGUAGGUAGCUUAACCUUCGGGAGGGCGCUUACCACUUUG